This 492-nucleotide ribosomal RNA is filed under the name uncultured bacterium. RNAcentral describes it as "bacterial SSU rRNA". It matches the Rfam family "Bacterial small subunit ribosomal RNA", at positions 26 to 518 of the family's 1533-position model. The record is from RNAcentral.
AGGAUGAACGCUGGCGGCGUGCUUAACACAGUGCAAGUCGAGCGGAAAGUAUUUAAAGCUUGCUUUUAAUACUUCAGCGGCGGACGGGUGAGUAACGGUGUGGGUAAACCUGCCAUAUACUGGGGAAUAAGUCAUUUGAAAAGAUGACUAAUACCGCAUGUGGUCACGAGAAGGCAUCUUCUUGUGAAGAAAGGGCUUCGGCUCGGUAUAUGAUGGACCCGCAUCUGAUUAGCUAGUUGGUGAGAUAACAGCUCACCAAGGCAACGAUCAGUAGCCGACCCGAGAGGGUGAUCGGCCACAUUGGGACUGAGACACGGCCCAAACUCCUACGGGAGGCAGCAGUGGGGAAUAUUGCACAAUGGGCGAAAGCCUGAAUGCAGCAACGCCGCGUGAAGGAAGAAGGGUUUCGGCUCGUAAACUUCUAUCAAUGGGGAAGAAAUAAAUGACGGUACCCAAAUAAGAAGCCCCGGCUAACUACGUGCCAGCAGCAGC